GUAGGGAAUCUUGCGCAAUGGGCGAAAGCCUGACGCAGCGACACCGUGUGAAGGAUGAAGGCCUUCGGGUCGUAAACUUCUGUCAAUUGGGGACGAAGGCACUGGGGUUAAUAGCCUGCAGUGUUGACGGUACCCAAAAAGGAAGUCUCGGCUAACUCCGUGCCAGCAGCCGCGGUAAGACGGAGGAGGCAAGCGUUGUCCGGAAUUAUUGGGCGUAAAGAGCGCGUAGGCUGUUUUCCAAGUCAUAUGUGAAAACCUCAGGCUCAACUUGAGGAUUGCAUAUGAAACUGGAUAACUUGAGUGCAGUAGGGGAAAGUGGAAUUCCUGGUGUAGCGGUGAAAUGCGCAGAUAUCAGGAAGAACACCAGUAGCGAAGGCGGCUUUCUGGGCUGUUACUGACGCUGAGGCGCGAAAGCUAGGGGAGCAAACAGGAUUAGAAACCCUUGUAGUCC
This 451-nucleotide ribosomal RNA is filed under the name uncultured bacterium. RNAcentral describes it as "bacterial SSU rRNA". It matches the Rfam family "Bacterial small subunit ribosomal RNA", at positions 354 to 796 of the family's 1533-position model. The record is from RNAcentral.